RNAcentral lists this ribosomal RNA (157 nucleotides) under uncultured Allobrachymonas sp. Its description in RNAcentral is "uncultured Brachymonas sp. partial 16S ribosomal RNA". It matches the Rfam family "Bacterial small subunit ribosomal RNA", at positions 1226 to 1382 of the family's 1533-position model. Lineage: Bacteria; Pseudomonadati; Pseudomonadota; Betaproteobacteria; Burkholderiales; Comamonadaceae. The record is from RNAcentral.
UACAAUGGCCGGUACAGAGGGUAGCCAACCCGCGAGGGGGAGCCAAUCCCACAAAGCCGGUCGUAGUCCGGAUCGCAGUCUGCAACUCGACUGCGUGAAGUCGGAAUCGCUAGUAAUCGCGGAUCAGCAUGUCGCGGUGAAUACGUUCCCGGGUCUU